Cydia splendana is the source of this 214-nucleotide long non-coding RNA. RefSeq lists it as uncharacterized. The record is from RefSeq and is a predicted model, not a curated record. Lineage: Eukaryota; Metazoa; Arthropoda; Insecta; Lepidoptera; Tortricidae. The transcript is spliced from 2 exons.
GCAUCCGCUCGGUGUACCCCUUACAUUUCAUUAAAGUGUCAAAAGGGCCUCUACGUGUUGGCUUCGGCUCCGCGCACGCCUCCCAAAGGUCCGGAACACCAUUGUUCCGUGAUGGGAAAGACAUACAUUAAUAAUGACUAUUGUUGCCAAUAAGCCUGACAUCGUGCUGAUAGAUCGAUCGCAGCGCCGGGCCGUGCUCGCCGACGUCACCAUC